GAGCAUGGCUCAGGAUGAACGCUAGCUACAGGCUUAACACAUGCAAGUCGAGGGGCAGCAUGAACUUAGCUUGCUAAGUUUGAUGGCGACCGGCGCACGGGUGAGUAACACGUAUCCAACCUGCCGAUGACUCGGGGAUAGCCUUUCGAAAGAAAGAUUAAUACCCGAUGGCAUAGUUCUUCCGCAUGGUAGAACUAUUAAAGAAUUUCGGUCAUCGAUGGGGAUGCGUUCCAUUAGG
RNAcentral lists this ribosomal RNA (238 nucleotides) under uncultured bacterium. Its description in RNAcentral is "partial 16S ribosomal RNA". It matches the Rfam family "Bacterial small subunit ribosomal RNA", at positions 15 to 245 of the family's 1533-position model. The record is from RNAcentral.